RNAcentral lists this ribosomal RNA (256 nucleotides) under uncultured bacterium. RNAcentral describes it as "partial 16S ribosomal RNA". It matches the Rfam family "Bacterial small subunit ribosomal RNA", at positions 524 to 776 of the family's 1533-position model. The record is from RNAcentral.
UACGUAGGGCGCGAGCGUUGUCCGGAUUUAUUGGGCGUAAAGAGCUCGUAGGCGGCUUGUUGCGUCGACUGUGAAAAACCUGCGGCUCAACCGUGUGGUCUGCAGUCGAUACGGGCAGGCUGGAGUUCGGUAGGGGAGGACUGGAAUUCCUGGUGUAGCGGUGAAAUGCGCAGAUAUCAGGAGGAACACCGGUGGCGAAGGCGGGUCUCUGGGCCGAUAUUGACGCUGAGGAGCGAAAGCGUGGGGAGCGAACAGG